RNAcentral lists this ribosomal RNA (461 nucleotides) under uncultured bacterium. Its description in RNAcentral is "bacterial SSU rRNA". It matches the Rfam family "Bacterial small subunit ribosomal RNA", at positions 67 to 507 of the family's 1533-position model. The record is from RNAcentral.
CGAGAAAGGGAGCAAUCCUAAGUAAAGUGGCGCACGGGUGAGUAACACGUGGGUAACGUACCCUCGGGUGGGGAAUAACGAACCGAAAGGUUCGCUAAUACCGCAUGAGACCACGUCCUUUGAGGAGGAUGAGGCCAAAGGAGGCUACCGUAGGGUAGUUUCCGCCUGAGGAUCGGCUCGCGGACCAUUAGCUAGUAGGCGGGGUAAUGGCCCACCUAGGCUACGAUGGUUAGCUGGUCUGAGAGGACGACCAGCCACACUGGAACUGACACACGGUCCAGACUCCUACGGGAGGCAGCAGUGGGGAAUUUUGGACAAUGGGCGAAAGCCUGAUCCAGCCAUACCGCGUGAGUGAAGAAGGCCUUCGGGUUGUAAAGCUCUUUCAGCCGGAAAGAAAUCGCACUUCUUAAUACGAAGUGUGGAUGACGGUACCGGAAGAAGAAGCACCGGCUAACUACGUG